AUACGGAGGGUGCAAGCGUUACUCGGAAUCACUGGGCGUAAAGCGCGCGCAGGCGGCCAUUUAAGUUGGAUGUGAAAGCCUACGGCUCAACCGUAGAACUGCAUCCAAAACUAUUUGGCUAGAGUGUGGGAGAGGAAGAUGGAAUUAGUCGUGUAGGGGUAAAAUCCGUAGAGAUAACUAGGAAUACCAAAAGCGAAGGCAAUCUUCUGGAACAUUACUGACGCUGAGGCGCGAAAGCGUGGGGAGCAAACAGGAUUAGAUACCCCAGUAGUCC
Molecule: ribosomal RNA, 274 nt
Filed under: uncultured bacterium
Lineage: Bacteria
Description: partial 16S ribosomal RNA
Rfam family: Bacterial small subunit ribosomal RNA
Source: RNAcentral